Papaver somniferum (opium poppy) is the source of this 2183-nucleotide long non-coding RNA. RefSeq lists it as uncharacterized. The transcript has 4 exons. Lineage: Eukaryota; Viridiplantae; Streptophyta; Magnoliopsida; Ranunculales; Papaveraceae. The record is from RefSeq and is a predicted model, not a curated record.
UCUUCGCUUCCUCUCAGCCGAUGAAACCUGAUCGAGUUCCUACUCUCAACCUAUCUUCUCUUCCUCUCAGCCGAUGAAACUAGAUCGAGUUUGAUGAAUCAAUUUUGAUUCAGUUUCUUCAUCAUCUAUAAUAGGAUUUUUAGGGAUUCAUAAAUCGAUUUUAGGGUCUCAAUCUGUAUUAUGAUUCAUUUAUUCGAUUUUAGUUUGUUCGUCGGAGUUCGAACUUGGAAGAACUGAUCUUCACUCUCAGCUAAUCGUGUGAAAGCAUCUGGUCUACUUUGUUUAAUUUAGUUUUGAUUUCGAUUUAUUUUCAGCUAGAUCUAGGUAUUUGUUUUAGGGUUUCAAAAAGAUAAUUGAUUUAGGGUUUCUUGUUCAAUCGAUUAUGAGAUUUCGGUUUCUGAUUUAGGGCAUUUUAUUCAGCUGCGCAUGGGAAUGAAGUUGAUAAGUUGGCUGAGAAGCUACAAGGGGUUGGGAUUGCUUCUGGUAGCGCUGAUGGUGGUGUUCUAACUACUUCUAAGUUCAGGUUAAGAAGUAGAGGGAGCGGUCAGUUUUGUGUAUUAGUUCAAAUGUUUUUCUGCUAAUUGAGAUUGUAGAAUCUGUUCUUUCUCUGGUCCAAAUUAUAGUGAUCUGGGGUUUUUGCUAAGCUGUCCUGUAGUAACUUGAAAAAUAUAUCCUAACUUCUACUAGGUUGAGGGAGGUAUUACCUAACUUCUAUCCUAUUAGUAAUUAGAAAAUAUAUGUGACACCUGUAGAAGGCUCAUAACCCAAAAACAACUGUAUCUGUCCUAUUAGUGUAUACUGUUCAUGCAUCAAACAUUUCAGAACUUUCCAAUAUAGAAGUUUGACAACUCCGUCAACAACAGAAAAGUCAAUUGCCACUGUGCUUUUUAGUGUAUUAGUUCCUCUCCUGUCAUUUCGUUCAAAUGUGUACUUAAUUCCUUAAAUUUAACUGGCAUCAGUUUUUCGGUGUUUACAUACUGAAGUGCAUCUGCUGAUCUGGGAUCUAUUAAUGUAUAUGUGCAACCAUCUAUGGUGUUUGACUUAGCAACUUUUCUGUUUCCAGAGAUGUGAUGAUGCUAGGCAGUUCAUUAAAUUUCUUCAUCCCGAUCUUGGUGUUGGUAUUACAUCUUAGCCCUGAAGACCUUUUCAUCAUGUUGGAAAAGCUCGUUGAAUCCUUAACUCUUACUAUGUCUUUUGUGGCUCAUUUUUUCUGUACGUUCUGUAGAGCUUCCUGAAAGAUCUUAUUGUACAGAUUGCCGUAUUUAUGUGCAGGAGAAUACAAAUAACAGGUUUAAGAAUGUUUAUGUAUGAUGGCUUCUUUCACAUCUCACUAUAUACGAGUUGGUUGGUAUAAGUCGCCAGCAGAAUAUUAUCGAUAAAUGAUUCCAGAAAAACAGUGAAAAAGGUUGGAACAUUUUGUUGGCUUUCCAUCGCGAUUUGCAUAGUUGAUCUCCUUAUAUGAUCAAAUUUGGGGAUGGUGAGUUAUACAAUCUGAUAUUUACUAGCAUGCUUUAGGAUUACUGUGUACUCGCAUUUGCCAAUUUGUUAUGCGCUUUUGAGUUCAACUCCCAAUUUUAAAGUGUAAGUGGUUAACAAUCAUCAGCCAUCUCCAUGGGAUUGUCACUAGAGUAGUAUAAAAACCCCAUUCCUCAGAAGGAUUAUGUCAUAGCCACAUUCUGAUGAUGGUUAGUAGAAUACUUCCAGCACUAAUUUGACAAUUUUCCCCGGUCUCUUCAGGCUUGUUUCCCCACUCAAUGCCUCAAUGGUUGGUGAUUUUCUGGUCAGGCACAGGGAUUACACUCACCACAUUCAUUUUCUUGUGGUCAUGGCAACAUCAUCGGCUGUGAUUUUUCUUCAUAUUUGUAUUUGUGGCCAGAUUCUUUGUGCAGGAACUGCAAACGGCCUGGUUAUUAUCCUUAUGAAUAAGUCAGGGAUUACGGAGAACUUGAUGAAGAAUGCUUGGCAACUAUCUGCAAGUUUUGAGAAGUAUCUGCAAGUUUUUGUACGUAGUUUUUGAGCUGAACAUAUACCGACCUAAGUGAGAAGGAACUGAACUUAGGAAGUUUCUAUGUAUUCCCUCGGAAUUUGAUGUUCUUUUUUGAUAUGAAUUGAUUGAUUAAAUUUGAAUGUGGUAUGAGUCGAAUGAAUAUUGAUAUGAAUUGAAUGAAGCUAUUGUUGAAUGU